AGCUUUGCGCAGUGGCAGUAUCGUAGCCAAUGAGGUUUAUCCAAGGUGCAAUUAUUACUAAUUAAAAUGGUAAAUUUUAUGUUAUGCAUAUUUUAGCACAAUUAAAAAAAAC
Equus asinus (donkey) is the source of this 112-nucleotide small nuclear RNA. Its record names the gene U4. It matches the Rfam family "U4 spliceosomal RNA". From Rfam's summary of the family: U4 small nuclear RNA (U4 snRNA) is a component of the major U2-dependent spliceosome. The record is from Ensembl. NCBI's taxonomy places the organism in Eukaryota, Metazoa, Chordata, Mammalia, Perissodactyla, Equidae.